GACAGAGGGUGCAAACGUUGCUCGGAAUCAUUGGGCGUAAAGCGCGUGUAGGUGGCUCUCCACGUCGGAUGUGAAAGCCCGGGGCUCAACCCCGGCAGUGCAUCCGAAACGAGGGAGCUAGAGUGCUGGAGAGGCGGGUGGAAUUCCCGGUGUAGAGGUGAAAUUCGUAGAUAUCGGGAGGAACACCAGUGGCGAAGGCGACCCGCUGGCCAGCAACUGACACUGAGACGCGAAAGCGUGGGGAGCAAACAGG
RNAcentral lists this ribosomal RNA (253 nucleotides) under uncultured bacterium. RNAcentral's name for it is "partial 16S ribosomal RNA". It matches the Rfam family "Bacterial small subunit ribosomal RNA", at positions 524 to 776 of the family's 1533-position model. The record is from RNAcentral.